CAAUAGCGUAUACUAACGUUGUUGCAGUUAAAAAGCUCGUAGUUGGAUUUCUGACGGUGGUUGGAUUGGUGCGACCGCGUGUUGCAUCAACCAUACUAUUUUCAACAUAUGCGAUGAAUUGGUGUGGUUAAUUAAGUUUGAUCCGCCAUUAAAUCGCUCGUUUACUUUGAGAAAAUUAGAGUGUUCAAAGCAGGCAUAACGCCUUGAAUAUGUUAGCAUGGAAUAAUAGCAUAGGACUUUGGUUCUAUUUGUUGGUUGUUCGAGAACUGGAGUAAUGAUUGAUAGGGACGGUUGGGGGCAUCCGUAUUCUCAAGCGAGAGGUGAAAUUCUUGGACCUUGGGAAGACGAACAGCUGCGAAAGCGUUUGCCUAGGACGUUCUCUUUAA
This 386-nucleotide ribosomal RNA is filed under the name uncultured eukaryote. Its description in RNAcentral is "partial 18S ribosomal RNA". It matches the Rfam family "Eukaryotic small subunit ribosomal RNA", at positions 592 to 976 of the family's 1831-position model. The record is from RNAcentral.